CUGGUGCACCCGCACACAAGGCUGCAAGCUGCGCGGCUGUCUCUUUCGCACAGCCACACCCUUACGCCGCACACUUUGGCCGAUGCAUAGCGAAGUGGAGCGAUUGUCGCUAGUCGACCAGCAGUUUCCAGAGGGCGCCGAUGUCGAAGAGGAUCAUCGCGUGCGACACAGUGAGUGCGUAAGCAUGAAUGUGGUCUCCCUGCACGACAUGCUGCGGCAGUUGGGCUGUGCGGGCGAGAGCAGCGGCUUCACAUCCUUUUCUGCGUCUUGCCUGCCACCUGAGAUGGUGGACGCACUACUGCACUACCUGGUGAGGUUGCAGGAAGACGUUCGUCAACUUGAUGCCCGAGCGCAACUUCUUGACGAGCAACGCGCGCGCGACACACGAAAAGCGGAGCUGCUCAACGAGCGAACAGAGAGGCUGAAGGAUGCAGUGGCCAACAUGUCUGCAAAAAGCUCGGCCGAAAUGAAGGAGUUCCGAGAUUACUUGCAGCAGAAUGCGAGCGCCAAUAAGCAGCGCCAACGCGAGCUUGUGGACUUGACUCGCAAGCGCGAGAAGCUGGAGUUGGAGGUGAAGCGUACUAGAAUGGAGAUGGAUCGCCUACGCAAGAUAGCGAAGCGGGUGCGGUGAAGAUGCCAGAGAGAGAGAGUUAGAAGGCGACGCCGUGAAGUCUAGAUAGAGGUGCGCGCGUUGAGGCGUCUCUUGCGCUCUUCCGGUGCCCUAAAGCACUUCCGUGUACUCUUCGGCUUGAACACUUUCUCCCUCUCCCUCUUUUUACUGGUCGGACCGGUGUAGGCGACUAUGCGUUUUUUUUUACCUACCUCUUCGUUCUUAUCGUGGUUGAGCGGUGCUUGUUGCUUAUCUCUUCCACAAACGCAUCUUAAACCGUCUUCAUGGGGUGCUGAAGGGAAGUGCGUGAGAUAUAGGGCAUCGCGCGUCGGAAGGGCUGUUCUCAGCUGUUGUUCUUUUAUAUUGAGAACAGGCACCCCUGUGAUGAACGACGCCGCCUCGUCGCGUUUUACCGCGCACCCAUGACGCAGGCUGGAGGCAUAGAUGCGUGAAAGCCUCAUCUCUUGGCACUGUGAAGUCGUGAGGUAGAGCAGAUACAUUAGAUUUCUCGCGUGUGUUUUUCCUUUUAUUCACCUCGUGUAGAUGCACAUCUCCCUCGCUCACGGAGGGCACUCGCUCACCGACCCACCUAGGAAUGAACUCCACACCAACUUAGCGUUAUGCCGCGCAGGCGAACGUCUCCCACAACGCAAUGGUGGUGGUGGUGGCGCCGACGAUCGCCGCCACGAAAUGUACCCCGGCCUCUCUCUCUCGGCACUUUGGGCAUGCUUUGCCCCACCUAUCUGAAAGAAAGCGAAAACUGCUCACGGGUGCUGCCAGAUCGAAGGAUGGCCUCGUUCUUCCAGCGACGGAUUCGAAUGGCCGCGCUGGAAACGUUUGCUGCGUUUCAUGAAAGCCCUAGAAACUCGGUAUCACGUGUUGCUGCUUUUUUUUUCCUGCUAUCCUCGCGUCAACGCCUCGCCGUCCACGCUGCACUGGACUCCGAAAAAAAUGUUAAAAG
RNAcentral lists this unclassified non-coding RNA (1571 nucleotides) under Leishmania donovani. Its description in RNAcentral is "gene:LdHU3.34.4800(CDS-product:hypothetical_prote in_conserved)". Lineage: Eukaryota; Euglenozoa; Kinetoplastea; Trypanosomatida; Trypanosomatidae. The record is from RNAcentral.